This 235-nucleotide ribosomal RNA is filed under the name uncultured bacterium. RNAcentral's name for it is "partial 16S ribosomal RNA". It matches the Rfam family "Bacterial small subunit ribosomal RNA", at positions 96 to 334 of the family's 1533-position model. The record is from RNAcentral.
UGGCGGACGGGUGAGUAAUGUCUGGGAAACUGCCCGAUGGAGGGGGAUAACUACUGGAAACGGUAGCUAAUACCGCAUAACGUCGCAAGACCAAAGAGGGGGACCUUAGGGCCUCCUGCCAUCGGAUGUGCCCAGAUGGGAUUAGCUAGUAGGUGGGGUAAAGGCUCACCUAGGCGACGAUCCCUAGCUGGUCUGAGAGGAUGACCAGCCACACUGGAACUGAGACACGGUCCAG